GUCGUUGCAUCUCCUUGUUCGGGCGGUGCUCGGCGUUCGACGUCACCGGUCUUCUAGCCAUCAUUGAUCCUUUUUUCAUUUUCCAUUGGUUUUGUCUUGUCUUCCCACACACCUGUUUUCUAUCCCAUUCAUUACCUGUUGUGUAUUUAACCCUCUGUUUCCCCUCAUGUCUUUGUCAGAGAUUGUUUUAUUGUCAGUGUAGUGUGAUUGUUGUAUAGGUGCGCGUCGGGUCCUCGUACCCAUGUUUGUUUGUUUAUGUACAUUUAGUGUUAUGGAGCACACUCCGUGGACUUUAUUAAAAGACUCCAUUUUACACUCAAUUUGACUCUCCUGCGCCUGACUUCCCUGCCACCUAUUACACCUAUGCAUGACACCGGGAAGGCAACUACAUCCACUUCUCUUGCUCCAAGGGCCAGUACAUCAAGAGCCAGACCAGUGCAAACUUUUGGGCCAUUCACUGAGGAGGAAGGAUCCAGUAUUGAGACAAGGACCGGUUGAUUGGAAUCCACUCCAGUGUUCAGCAUUGAUAAAGAUAUAGAUCAUUUCUUACCAUUGGGCGUACCAGAGGUGAUAUGUGGUUGCCCAACAAACACAAUCCAUGUUGGCCCUGGGAAACAUAUCAUCCCCGUAGGAAUAAAUGGUACGUGCAAUAUCUACAAGAACCAGUGAUGUAGCAAAGCAAUGUAAAACAACAUUAAUUCAGACUGUACAUUUUUUUCCCCUCAAGGUCGCUAGAAUAGAAUGUCACAGUACCUGUGCUGACCUGCACAACCUGUCUUAGCACAUUGACGGCAAACUUGAUAGAUCUGAUAAAGAGUGGGUACUGGUCUUCCACUGUCAACUGUGACACCAUAUACCAGGUAGAUCUGUUCAGCUCUUUUGAGGUGCUGAAAGUGUCAGCCCAAGGAAUGUUCCGUUGGGUGUUAUGUGGAUUUUGGAGCAGCGAACUGACUUCUUUGGCAGGGUAACAAUAAAU
Long non-coding RNA from Oncorhynchus keta (chum salmon), 976 nucleotides. RefSeq lists it as uncharacterized. The transcript has 4 exons. The record is from RefSeq and is a predicted model, not a curated record. NCBI's taxonomy places the organism in Eukaryota, Metazoa, Chordata, Actinopteri, Salmoniformes, Salmonidae.